AUUGAACGCUGGCGGCAGGCCUAACACAUGCAAGUCGAACGGCAGCACAGAAGAGCUUGCUCUUUGGGUGGCGAGUGGCGGACGGGUGAGUAAUGUCUGGGAAACUGCCCGAUGGAGGGGGAUAACUACUGGAAACGGUAGCUAAUACCGCAUAACGUCGCAAGACCAAAGUGGGGGACCUUCGGGCCUCACACCAUCGGAUGUGCCCAGAUGGGAUUAGCUAGUAGGUGGGGUAACGGCUCACCUAGGCGACGAUCCCUAGCUGGUCUGAGAGGAUGACCAGCCACACUGGAACUGAGACACGGUCCAGACUCCUACGGGAGGCAGCAGUGGGGAAUAUUGCACAAUGGGCGCAAGCCUGAUGCAGCCAUGCCGCGUGUAUGAAGAGGCCUUCGGGUUGUAAAGUACUUCCAGCGGGGAGGAAGGCGAUGUGGUUAAUAACCGCGUCGAUUGACGUUACCCGCAGAAGAAGCACCGGCUAACUCCGUGCCAGCAGCCGCAGUAA
This 505-nucleotide ribosomal RNA is filed under the name uncultured bacterium. RNAcentral's name for it is "partial 16S ribosomal RNA". It matches the Rfam family "Bacterial small subunit ribosomal RNA", at positions 29 to 523 of the family's 1533-position model. The record is from RNAcentral.